UUGCUUCGGUAAUUGACCUAGCGGCGGACGGGUGAGUAAUACUUAGGAAUCUGCCUAUUAAUGGGGGACAACAUCUCGAAAGGGAUGCUAAUACCGCAUACGCCCUACGGGGGAAAGCAGGGGAUCACUUGUGACCUUGCGUUAAUAGAUGAGCCUAAGUCGGAUUAGCUAGUUGGUGGGGUAAAGGCCUACCAAGGCGACGAUCUGUAGCGGGUCUGAGAGGAUGAUCCGCCACACUGGGACUGAGACACGGCCCAGACUCCUACGGGAGGCAGCAGUGGGGAAUAUUGGACAAUGGGGGGAACCCUGAUCCAGCCAUGCCGCGUGUGUGAAGAAGGCCUUAUGGUUGUAAAGCACUUUAAGCGAGGAGGAGGCUCUUUUGGUUAAUACCCAAGAUGAGUGGACGUUACUCGCAGAAUAAGCACCGGCUAACUCUGUGCCAGCAGCCGCGGUAAUACAGAGGGUGCGAGCGUUAAUCGGAUUUACUGGGCGUAAAGCGUGCGUAGGCGGCUUUUUAAGUCGGAUGUGAAAUCCCCGAGCUUAACUUGGGAAUUGCAUUCGAUACUGGGAAGCUAGAGUAUGGGAGAGGAUGGUAGAAUUCCAGGUGUAGCGGUGAAAUGCGUAGAGAUCUGGAGGAAUACCGAUGGCGAAGGCAGCCAUCUGGCCUAAUACUGACGCUGAGGUACGAAAGCAUGGGGAGCAAACAGGAUUAGAUACCCUGGUAGUCCAUGCCGUAAACGAUGUCUACUAGCCGUUGGGGUCUUUGAGACUUUAGUGGCGCAGCUAACGCGAUAAGUAGACCGCCUGGGGAGUACGGUCGCAAGACUAAAACUCAAAUGAAUUGACGGGGGCC
Molecule: ribosomal RNA, 853 nt
Filed under: Acinetobacter bereziniae
Lineage: Bacteria; Pseudomonadati; Pseudomonadota; Gammaproteobacteria; Moraxellales; Moraxellaceae
Description: bacterial SSU rRNA
Rfam family: Bacterial small subunit ribosomal RNA
Source: RNAcentral